This 468-nucleotide ribosomal RNA is filed under the name uncultured bacterium. Its description in RNAcentral is "partial 16S ribosomal RNA". It matches the Rfam family "Bacterial small subunit ribosomal RNA", at positions 28 to 507 of the family's 1533-position model. The record is from RNAcentral.
GAUGAACGCUGGCGGCGUGCUUAAUACAUGCAAGUCGAACGGAAAGGCCCUGCUUUUGCGGGGUGCUCGUGUGGCGAACGGGUGAGUAACACGUGAGUAUCAUGUCCUUGUCUUUGGGAUAUCUUCAGGAAACUGGGGCUCUUAUCGGAUAGGAGCUCUUGCUGCAUGGUGGGGGUUGGUAAGUUUCGGCGGUUGGGGCUAGUCUCGCUGCUUAUCCGCUUGAUGGUGUGGUAGUGGCUUACCAAGGCUUUGACGGGUAGGCGGCCUGAGAGGUUGACCGGCCACAAUGGGACUGAGGUACGGCCCAGACGCCUACGGGAGGCAGCAGUGGAGAAUAUUACACAAUAGGCGGAAGCCUGAGACGGCGACGCCGCGUGCGGGAUGACGUGCUUCGGGUGGAGAACCGCUUUCGACUGAAACGAGGCGUGAGUGACGGUAAUGGGUAAGAAAGCACCGGCUAACUACGUG